GGCGUAGUAGCAUAGCGGCAAAUGCGCCUGCCUGUCGAGCAGGUGACCGCGGGUUCGAGUCCCGUCUGCGCCGCCA
RNAcentral lists this transfer RNA (76 nucleotides) under SAR202 cluster bacterium. RNAcentral's name for it is "tRNA-Asp". It matches the Rfam family "tRNA". From Rfam's summary of the family: Transfer RNA (tRNA) molecules are approximately 80 nucleotides in length. The record is from RNAcentral. Lineage: Bacteria; Bacillati; Chloroflexota; Dehalococcoidia.